RNAcentral lists this ribosomal RNA (318 nucleotides) under uncultured soil bacterium. RNAcentral's name for it is "bacterial SSU rRNA". It matches the Rfam family "Bacterial small subunit ribosomal RNA", at positions 34 to 341 of the family's 1533-position model. The record is from RNAcentral.
AGAUUGACGCGCUGGCGGCAGGCCUAACACAUGCAAGUCGAGCGGCAGCACGGGUACUUGUACCUGGUGGCGAGCGGCGGACGGGUGAGUAAUGCCUAGGAAUCUGCCUGGUAGUGGGGGAUAACGCUCGGAAACGGACGCUAAUACCGCAUACGUCCUACGGGAGAAAGCAGGGGACCUUCGGGCCUUGACGCUAUCAGAUGAGCCUAGGUCGGAUUAGCUAGUUGGUGAGGUAAUGGCUCACCAAGGCGACGAUCCGUAACUGGUCUGAGAGGAUGAUCAGUCACACUGGAACUGAGACCACGGUCCAGACUCCUA